RNAcentral lists this long non-coding RNA (326 nucleotides) under Elaeis guineensis (African oil palm). RNAcentral's name for it is "long non-coding RNA (EGUI_LNC060623)". The record is from RNAcentral. Lineage: Eukaryota; Viridiplantae; Streptophyta; Magnoliopsida; Arecales; Arecaceae.
CCUUGUUUCCUUUUCUUUCUUUUUCUUUACUUUCUUCUUUCUGUGGAUUCUUGGCAAAAAUAGGAGAUCUUGUGGUCCUACCUAUUCCCUAGAUCGGAGGUCGUAGUUGCCACGAUUGUGGCUGAGGGUGGUUGGAGCUACAAUGGUGCAUCCCAACAAUUCUAGAUUGGUGGUCGAUAGUGACAAUCGGUGCCAGAAAAAUCAAAAUAAGAAGGGCAAAAAUGAGGGAAAAAUAGGAGACUUUUUAGUUCGAUCUUUUCUAACAAAAAUCUGAUGAUAGCCGGCCAAAAUCCAAGCUUCUAAGGGCUUAGAAGAUGAGAAGAAAG